AGUAAGUGUAGCCUCCAAGGAAACGUAUUGCUGGGGUUACAAUACAAUAUUCGAUAGCAAUCCGUCACACAGCCUGGUCGGGUUAAUAGUAUAG
Molecule: long non-coding RNA, 94 nt
Organism: Priapulus caudatus
Lineage: Eukaryota; Metazoa; Priapulida; Priapulimorpha; Priapulimorphida; Priapulidae
Exons: 3
Source: RefSeq, a predicted model, not a curated record